This 769-nucleotide small RNA is filed under the name Histoplasma capsulatum var. duboisii H88. RNAcentral describes it as "Histoplasma capsulatum H88 hypothetical RNA". The record is from RNAcentral. Lineage: Eukaryota; Fungi; Ascomycota; Eurotiomycetes; Onygenales; Ajellomycetaceae.
CAGCACUAUAAAUCUUGGCGGAAAUUCACACUGUAUUUUAUACUGAAUAUUCAGUUCUUGAUUAUUCCAUUGUAUUAUUCUCUUCUCAUCCACUGUCCUUCAGCAUGUAAUCCGCCUGCCACCCACCACGUAGCCAGUGGCGCUUCUCUGCUGUAUCAAUUGGAUCUGAGCGGCGCAAUACUUUUGGUAGCGCCCUCCGUACAUUACGCAGUAAGAGCAGGAGGCCUGAGAACUAUGUAGCUAACAGGUAAUUGCCUAAAAGAUAUGGCAUCGCGGAAUCUUGCGCCACCGGGUAUAUAUAUCACUAUGAGCGCAACCAUUUAACAAAUGGUUUGCCUUGGUUUUUUUCUAUGGAUAACCUAGCGGUCAUAGUGCUAUCUCAUCACAGGGAGCUGGAAUGGAGAUUCAGGGCGAAAAGGUUUUAAUUUAUUGAUAAUGCAUUGCAUUGAUGCAUAAUUUCCCACUUUGUUUUCUACUACUCAUUAGUGGUCAAUAACAUUUCAGUAUUCUCAUUUAAUAUCUACGCAGGAGAUUAUAUUCUCCUUCUCCAGUGCAUAUCAUAACGAUCUAUGCAUUACUUUGCUAGUGGUAUAUUUUAGCAUCAACCUUAAUUAAUCACCCCUGGACGCUAAAAUGAUUUAGGGUUAAACUUCCGCUUCGCUCCAUUAGAUUCAAUCACUCACAAACCAAAGAGUGAGAGCUUGAGAAAUAGAGAAAACACUCUCAAAGAAUACACACGGCUUGAAAGAGGGUAGAAUAUGAGAGCAAU